UGCAUCCUACGGGGCGCAGCAGUAGGGAAUUUUCGGCAAUGGGGGGAACCCUGACCGAGCAACGCCGCGUGAGUGAAGAAGGUUUUCGGAUUGUAAAGCUCUGUUAGCAGGGAAGAGGAAGGACGGUACCUGCAGAGGAAGCCACGGCUAACUACGUGCCAGCAGCCGCGGUAAUACGUAGGUGGCAAGCGUUGUUCGGAAUAACUGGGCGUAAAGGAUGCGUAGGCGGUUAAACAAGUUAUAUGUUAAAUAUAUAGGAUUAACCUGUAGAAAGCAUAUAAAACUGUUUAACUAGAGUGCAGGAG
RNAcentral lists this ribosomal RNA (305 nucleotides) under uncultured bacterium. RNAcentral's name for it is "bacterial SSU rRNA". It matches the Rfam family "Bacterial small subunit ribosomal RNA", at positions 333 to 654 of the family's 1533-position model. The record is from RNAcentral.